This 595-nucleotide ribosomal RNA is filed under the name Trichoderma brevicompactum. RNAcentral's name for it is "eukaryotic LSU rRNA". The stretch from base 258 to 411 matches the Rfam family "5.8S ribosomal RNA". The record is from RNAcentral. Lineage: Eukaryota; Fungi; Ascomycota; Sordariomycetes; Hypocreales; Hypocreaceae.
GGAAGUAAAAAGUCGUAACAAGGUCUCCGUUGGUGAACCAGCGGAGGGAUCAUUACCGAGUUUACAACUCCCAAACCCCAAUGUGAACGUUACCAAACUGUUGCCUCGGCGGGAUUUCUGCCCCGGGCGCGUCGCAGCCCCGGACCAAGGCGCCCGCCGGAGGACCAAUUUACAAACUCUUUUGUAUAUCCCAUCGCGGAUUCUUUACAUUCUGAGCUUUCUCGGCGCUCCUAGCGAGCGUUUCGAAAAUGAAUCAAAACUUUCAACAACGGAUCUCUUGGUUCUGGCAUCGAUGAAGAACGCAGCGAAAUGCGAUAAGUAAUGUGAAUUGCAGAAUUCAGUGAAUCAUCGAAUCUUUGAACGCACAUUGCGCCCGCCAGUAUUCUGGCGGGCAUGCCUGUCCGAGCGUCAUUUCAACCCUCGAACCCCUCCGGGGGGUCGGCGUUGGGGAUCGGCACUUACCUGCCGGCCCCGAAAUACAGUGGCGGUCUCGCCGCAGCCUCUCCUGCGCAGUAGUUUGCACACUCGCACCGGGAGCGCGGCGCGUCCACGGCCGUAAAACAACCCAAACUUCUGAAAUGUUGACCUCGGAUCA